UACGUAGGGGGCAAGCGUUGUCCGGAUUCAUUGGGCGUAAAGAGCGUGUAGGCGGCCAGGUAGGUCGGUUGUGAAAACUGGAGGCUCAACCUUCAGAGGUCGACCGAAACCAUCUGGCUAGAGUCCGGGAGAGGAGAGUGGAAUUCCUGGUGUAGCGGUGAAAUGCGCAGAUAUCAGGAGGAACACCUAUGGCGAAGGCAGCUCGCUGGGACGGUACUGACGCUGAGACGCGAAAGCGUGGGGAGCGAACAGG
This 253-nucleotide ribosomal RNA is filed under the name uncultured bacterium. RNAcentral describes it as "partial 16S ribosomal RNA". It matches the Rfam family "Bacterial small subunit ribosomal RNA", at positions 524 to 776 of the family's 1533-position model. The record is from RNAcentral.